CCCUAAACGGCCGCGGCACUAAAACCGUGCAAAGGUAGCACAAUCACUUGUCCAUUAAAUGAGGACCCGUAUGAAAGGCAACAUGAGAGAAAACCUGUCUCUUAAGGCUAGCCAAUGAAAUUGUACUACCAGUACAAAAACUGGUAUAUCAAAGCAAGACAAAAAGACCCUGUGGAACUUUUAACAAAUUGUUUAAACAUGUAAACAACAGUUUCAGUUGGGACAACUUUAGAAAAAAUAAACUUCUUAAUUUACCAAGACAAACAAGUCUAAGACAACACAGAUCCAGUAAUACUGAUUAACGAAACAAGCUACCCCAGGGAUAACAGCGCCACCUUCUCAAAGAGUCCAUAUCAACAAGAAGAUCUACGACCUCGAUGUUGGAUCAGGGUACCCAGACGGUGCAACAGCUGUCAAUGGUUCGUUUGUUCAACGAUUAAUACCCUACGUGAUCUGAGUUCAGA
RNAcentral lists this ribosomal RNA (464 nucleotides) under Trioceros ellioti. RNAcentral's name for it is "partial 16S ribosomal RNA". It matches the Rfam family "Bacterial large subunit ribosomal RNA", at positions 1921 to 2615 of the family's 2925-position model. The record is from RNAcentral. Lineage: Eukaryota; Metazoa; Chordata; Lepidosauria; Squamata; Chamaeleonidae.